This 645-nucleotide ribosomal RNA is filed under the name uncultured marine eukaryote. RNAcentral's name for it is "SSU rRNA". It matches the Rfam family "Eukaryotic small subunit ribosomal RNA", at positions 613 to 1259 of the family's 1831-position model. The record is from RNAcentral.
UUGUGGUUAAAAAGCUCGUAGUUGGAUCUCGGCGGACUGAGGGCGGUUUGCUUGCUAGUAUUACUGCCCUAUAGUCCGUAGUUUUGCCAGAGGUUUCGGGGUGCUCUUAAUCGAGUGUCCCGGGAUGCUGGCAGGUUUACUUUGAAAAAAUUAGAGUGCUCAAAGCAGGCUAUUACGCCUGAAUAUUCGUGCAUGGAAUAAUAGAAUAGGAAGUCGUUUCUAUUUUGUUGGUUUUCGGAAAUCGACUUAAUGAUUAAUAGGGACAGUCGGGGGCAUUUGUAUUCAAACGACAGAGGUGAAAUUCUUGGACCGUUUGAAGACAAACUACUGCGAAAGCAUUUGCCAAGAAUGUUUUCAUUAAUCAAGAACGAAAGUUAAAGGUUCGAAGGCGAUUAGAUACCGCCCUAGUUUUAACCAUAAACGAUGCCAGCUAGCGAUCUGCGGACGUUUUUUUUGUAGACUCCGCAGGAAGCUUCCGGGAAACCAAAGCAUUUGGGUUCCAGGGGAAGUAUGGUUGCAAAGCUGAAACUUAAAGGAAUUGACGGAAGGGCACCACCAGGAGUGGAGCCUGUGGCUUAAUUUGACUCAACACGGGAAAUCUCACCAGGCCCGGACACUGGAAGGAUUGACAGAUUGAUAGCUCUU